This 73-nucleotide transfer RNA is filed under the name Myotis davidii. It matches the Rfam family "tRNA". From Rfam's summary of the family: Transfer RNA (tRNA) molecules are approximately 80 nucleotides in length. Their secondary structure includes four short double-helical elements and three loops (D, anti-codon, and T loops). Further hydrogen bonds mediate the characteristic L-shaped molecular structure. tRNAs have two regions of fundamental functional importance: the anti-codon, which is responsible for specific mRNA codon recognition, and the 3' end, to which the tRNAs corresponding amino acid is attached (by aminoacyl-tRNA synthetases). tRNAs cope with the degeneracy of the genetic code in two manners: having more than one tRNA (with a specific anti-codon) for a particular amino acid; and 'wobble' base-pairing, i.e. permitting non-standard base-pairing at the 3rd anti-codon position. The record is from Rfam by way of RNAcentral. Lineage: Eukaryota; Metazoa; Chordata; Mammalia; Chiroptera; Vespertilionidae.
GCCCAUUUGGCUCAGUGGAUAGAGUGUCAGCCUGCAGACUGAAGGGUCCUAGGUUCGAUUCCAGUUAAGGGCA